UGAACGCUGGCGGCGUGCCUAAUACAUGCAAGUCGAGCGAACGGACGAGAAGCUUGCUUCUCUGAUGUUAGCGGCGGACGGGUGAGUAACACGUGGAUAACCUACCUAUAAGACUGGGAUAACUUCGGGAAACCGUAGCUAAUACCGGAUAAUAUUUUGAACCGCAUGGUUCAAAAGUGAAAGACGGUCUUGCUGUCACUUAUAGAUGGAUCCGCGCUGCAUUAGCUAGUUGGUAAGGUAACGGCUUACCAAGGCAACGAUGCAUAGCCGACCUGAGAGGGUGAUCGGCCACACUGGAACUGAGACACGGUCCAGACUCCUACGGGAGGCAGCAGUAGGGAAUCUUCCGUAAUGGGCGAAAGCCUGACGGAGCAACGCCGCGUGAGUGAUGAAGGUCUUCGGAUCGUAAAACUCUGUUAUUAGGGAAGAACAUAUGUGUAAGUAACUGUGCACAUCUUGACGGUACCUAAUCAGAAAGCCACGGCUAACUACGUG
Molecule: ribosomal RNA, 495 nt
Filed under: uncultured bacterium
Lineage: Bacteria
Description: partial 16S ribosomal RNA
Rfam family: Bacterial small subunit ribosomal RNA
Source: RNAcentral